This 27-nucleotide small RNA is filed under the name Bombyx mori (domestic silkworm). RNAcentral describes it as "ovarian small RNA-36723". The record is from RNAcentral. Lineage: Eukaryota; Metazoa; Arthropoda; Insecta; Lepidoptera; Bombycidae.
UUAGCUUAUCACGUACGUGUUCCAUCA